CCUACGGGGGGCAGCAGUGAGGAAUAUUGGUCAAUGGGCGCGAGCCUGAACCAGCCAAGUAGCGUGAAGGAUGACUGCCCUACGGGUUGUAAACUUCUUUUAUAAAGGAAUAAAGUGAGGCACGUGUGCCUUUUUGUAUGUACUUUAUGAAUAAGGAUCGGCUAACUCCGUGCCAGCAGCCGCGGUAAUACGGAGGAUCCGAGCGUUAUCCGGAUUUAAUGGGUUGAAAGGGAGCGUAGAUGGGUUGUUAAGUCAGUUGUGAAAGUUUGCGGCUCAACCGUAAAAUUGCACUUGAUACUGGCAGCCUUGAGUACAGUAGAGGUAGGCGGAAUUCGUGGUGUAGCGGUGAAAUGCGUAGAUAUCACGAAGAACUCCGGUUGCGAAGGCAGCCUACUAAGCUGCCACUGACAUUGAUGCUCGAAAGUGUGGGUAUCAAACAGGAUUAGAUACCCCUGUAGUC
RNAcentral lists this ribosomal RNA (460 nucleotides) under uncultured bacterium. RNAcentral describes it as "partial 16S ribosomal RNA". It matches the Rfam family "Bacterial small subunit ribosomal RNA", at positions 338 to 795 of the family's 1533-position model. The record is from RNAcentral.